Long non-coding RNA from Olea europaea var. sylvestris, 987 nucleotides. RefSeq lists it as uncharacterized. The transcript is spliced from 2 exons. The record is from RefSeq and is a predicted model, not a curated record. NCBI's taxonomy places the organism in Eukaryota, Viridiplantae, Streptophyta, Magnoliopsida, Lamiales, Oleaceae.
GCUUAGAAAGUUUACUUAAGAAUUUUGUCUGAUGUACAGCCCUGUGUACAGAAUCUCACAUGCUUAUGGGCGUGAGUGGGUGAUCAUUUUAAAAAGAAAUUCCCCCACUCCUCGCCCAUGUAUUGGGAGUAUUCUUUACUGGCCUUGUGCAGCAAUCAAAGUCCUUUACUUAAAGCUCAACUAUCCGGUCCGGUCACUGAAAUACAACAGACUCCUCAAACAAUCAUCAAAUACCGAUUUCUCUAUUUCUUCCACCCAACUACAAAAGAUUCAAAGAGAAUUUAGUAUAAUUAGUCAAAAAAGGGGAGAAAAUUCGAAGUGGAAACAGCUGCUAGAAGAAGAGGAGGUGUUUGGGAAGGGCUCUAUGGAAUAGAGUGCUUAUGCGCCGCAACUCCGUCUACGUUACCUUCGCGACUUCGUCGUCGCCGAUGCAGAGCCGGUGCCUUCCUCGGCGAACGAUUUAGUAUCUAUACAUUUCCACUUGUAGUUAUGUUUAUGGGUAGAUUAACUCGAUUGAAUUUGGAUCUAGGAAAUAAACAAUUCCUUUUGAUAUUUGAUUAAUUUCUCAAAAGAAGUUUUGAUGUUAACCCAUGGAGUGUGAUUCGUUUUCAGAUUUCUGUUCUUUUGCCGCUUUCUCAUGUUUUUGUAAUCUAGAUUUUGGGUGUUUUUGUUUUUGUUUUUGUUGACAUCGCAGGCGGUGGACUAUGGGGUUCACAGGCUGUGGGAGCACAACAAUGUUGGGAUGAAAUGUAGAAACGCUACGAGGAUAUUCUUGUUUGGGACAGAGACCAACCGAAUGAAGUAGUGUAUUCAACUCUUGAUCUCUCUUGGUUUUCUUAUCCUUGAUCUAUGUAAUUAUGCAUUUUUUUAAUCUCUUAAUAAUUGUAACCCUAUUGCUCCUGCUAUGUAGAUAGAUGUUAAAUAGCAUUAUUCUUUUGGUUAUUGUCGAGAUACCUUGAGAAUUAAUAUCAUUUUUGUUUGUAGACA